Molecule: non-coding RNA, 638 nt
Organism: Chiloscyllium plagiosum (whitespotted bambooshark)
Lineage: Eukaryota; Metazoa; Chordata; Chondrichthyes; Orectolobiformes; Hemiscylliidae
Source: RefSeq, a predicted model, not a curated record
GCUAACUGGGCCAGGGACGGAAAGUCUUCACUCUUGGCACUUUCUCAGCCAAGUUUGGGGACCAAGUCAGAAAACCUAGCAAUCUGCAUAAUUUCUCAGAGUCAUGUCAUCCAUUGAAUACUUCCUUGUCUGCAGCUUUAAAGCUAGAACUGGGGCUCACUGGAGGAAAAUGGGAAUCAUUUCUACACAAAGAGGAUGGUAGAAAUUUGAAUUCUCUCCUGCAAAAGAUCAACUGAAGCAGACAUUACUGGUGGCAAAGAACCAAGGCAGCAGCAAAGGGAACAGGAACAGCAGCAACAAAGACCACAGCAGUCAGAAAUAGCUGACCAGCCUCCAGAGACACAAAAUCCAGACAACAGUGAUCAUCGACUUGAAACGGAAUAAACAGCUACAGUUAUCUGGAUUUGACUAAGGGUUAACGCAUGAGGUGCUCUGAGAUGUCCCAGCAGGUGGUUUCAUAAAUGUGCCACUUGUUGAAUAAAGGCUUUUGACUGCUAGGACUGGGAGGCAAUGUCAUGUUGAUUGCCUUGAAGGUCACCUUAGCCUCUAACCUUUUAUUUUCAGGUGGCUUAUUUUAGGGCAUCACUGUGGGAUAUUCCAGCCUGAAACUCACAAAUUUAUUCAGGAGGUCAGAGAUG